GCUGGGUAUGGUGGAGCACACCUGUAAUCCCAGCUGCUUGGGAGGCUGAGGCAGGAGGAUCGAAAAUUCCAAGCCAGCCUCAGCAACUUAGCAAGGUCCUAAGCAACUAAGUGAGACCCUGUCUCAA
RNAcentral lists this small RNA (127 nucleotides) under Marmota monax (woodchuck). The record is from RNAcentral. Lineage: Eukaryota; Metazoa; Chordata; Mammalia; Rodentia; Sciuridae.